RNAcentral lists this ribosomal RNA (469 nucleotides) under uncultured bacterium. RNAcentral describes it as "bacterial SSU rRNA". It matches the Rfam family "Bacterial small subunit ribosomal RNA", at positions 917 to 1382 of the family's 1533-position model. The record is from RNAcentral.
GGACCCGCACAAGCAGUGGAGCAUGUGGUUUAAUUCGAAGCAACGCGAAGAACCUUACCAGGUCUUGACAUCCCUCUGAAUACGGCAGAGAUGUCGUAGGCCCCUUAUGGGGACAGAGGAGACAGGUGGUGCAUGGUUGUCGUCAGCUCGUGUCGUGAGAUGUUGGGUUAAGUCCCGCAACGAGCGCAACCCUUGGUCCUAGUUGCCAGCACUUCGGGUGGGCACUCUAGGGCGACUGCCGGUGACAAACCGGAGGAAGGCGGGGAUGACGUCAAAUCAUCAUGCCCCUUAUGACCUGGGCUACACACGUGCUACAAUGGCCGGUACAAAGGGCUGCGAAGCCGCGAGGCGGAGCCAAUCCCAAAAAGCCGGUCUCAGUUCGGAUUGCAGGCUGCAACUCGCCUGCAUGAAGUCGGAAUUGCUAGUAAUCGCGGAUCAGCAUGCCGCGGUGAAUACGUUCCCGGGUCUU